RNAcentral lists this ribosomal RNA (1329 nucleotides) under uncultured bacterium. RNAcentral describes it as "bacterial SSU rRNA". It matches the Rfam family "Bacterial small subunit ribosomal RNA", at positions 64 to 1380 of the family's 1533-position model. The record is from RNAcentral.
GAGGGGCAUCACGAAGUCAGCUUGCUGACUUUGGUGGCGACCGGCGGAUGGGUGCGUAACACGUAUGCAACAUACCCCUUAUUAGGGAAUAACCCGGAGAAAUUCGGACUAAUGCUCUAUAUUCAUCUUUGAUCGCAUGGUUAGGGAUGGAAAGAUUUAUCGAUAAGGGAUUGGCCUGCGUUCCAUUAGGUAGUUGGUGAGGUAAAGGCUCACCAAGCCGACGAUGGAUAGGGGAGCUGAGAGGCUAACCCCCCACACUGGGACUGAGACACGGCCCAGACUCCUACGGGAGGCAGCAGUGAGGAAUAUUGGUCAAUGGAGGAGACUCUGAACCAGCCAAGUCGCGUGAAGGAAGAAGGUUCUAAGAAUUGUAAACUUCUUUAGUAGGAGAGUAAAGACAGGUACGUGUACCUGUAAGGAAAGUAUCCUAAGAAUAAGUAUCGGCUAACUCCGUGCCAGCAGCCGCGGUAAUACGGAGGAUACGAGCGUUAUCCGGAAUUAUUGGGUUUAAAGGGUGCGUAGGUGGCGUUGUAAGUCAGUGGUGAAACCCCGGAGCUCAACUUCGGGCUUGCCGUUGAAACUGUGAUGCUAGAGUACAGAUGCUGUGGGCGGAACGCGUAGUGUAGCGGUGAAAUGCAUAGAUAUUACGCAGAACUCCGAUUGCGAAGGCAGCUCACAAAAGUGUUACUGACACUGAUGCACGAAAGCGUGGGUAUCAAACAGGAUUAGAUACCCUGGUAGUCCACGCCGUAAACUAUGAUUACUCGGAGUUUGCCGCUAUAGGUAAGCUUCCAAGCGAAAGCGAUAAGUAAUCCACCUGGGGAGUACGUCGGCAACGAUGAAACUCAAAGGAAUUGACGGGGGCCCGCACAAGCGGAGGAACAUGUGGUUUAAUUCGAUGAUACGCGAGGAACCUUACCCGGGAUUGAAAUGUAUAUGCGGGGUCUUGGAAACAGGAUCUGUUCCCUUCGGGGACAUAUAUGUAGGUGCUGCAUGGUUGUCGUCAGCUCGUGCCGUGAGGUGUCGGCUUAAGUGCCAUAACGAGCGCAACCCCCAUUGUCAGUUACCAUCAAGUAAAGUUGGGGACUCUGACAAGACUGCCGUCGUAAGGCGUGAGGAAGGCGGGGAUGACGUCAAAUCAGCACGGCCCUUACAUCCGAGGCGACACACGUGUUACAAUGGUGAGGACAAAGGGCAGCCAGAUGGUGACAUCGAGUGAAUCUCCAAACCUCAUCUCAGUCCGGAUCGAAGUCUGCAACUCGACUUCGUGAAGCUGGAUUCGCUAGUAAUCGCGCAUCAGCCAUGGCGCGGUGAAUACGUUCCCGGGCC